AAUGUCCAUUGACAAAAAACUCAAAUGUGCAAUGUAAAUUUGAGUCAGACACCAUUGGACGAGACUAUGCUUCUAUGUCAACAGUCAAUUCAGAAAUUUAUUCUGAAUUGAUAUAAACAUUAGAAGACAUACUU
RNAcentral lists this small nucleolar RNA (134 nucleotides) under Bombyx mori (domestic silkworm). RNAcentral's name for it is "Bm_62". The record is from RNAcentral. Lineage: Eukaryota; Metazoa; Arthropoda; Insecta; Lepidoptera; Bombycidae.